RNAcentral lists this ribosomal RNA (465 nucleotides) under uncultured bacterium. RNAcentral describes it as "partial 16S ribosomal RNA". It matches the Rfam family "Bacterial small subunit ribosomal RNA", at positions 338 to 795 of the family's 1533-position model. The record is from RNAcentral.
CCUACGGGAGGCAGCAGUAGGGAAUCUUCCACAAUGGGCGAAAGCCUGAUGCAGCAACGCCGCGUGGGUGAAGAAGGUCUUCGGAUCGUAAAACCCUGUUGUUAGAGAAGAAAGUGCGUGAGAGUAACUGUUCACGUUUCGACGGUAUCUAACCAGAAAGCCACGGCUAACUACGUGCCAGCAGCCGCGGUAAUACGUAGGUGGCAAGCGUUAUCCGGAUUUAUUGGGCGUAAGGGGAACGAAGGCGGUCUUGUAAGUCUGAUGUGAAAGCCGUCGGCUUAACCGGAGUAGUGCAUUGGAAACUGGGAGAAUAGAGUGCAGAAGAGGAGAGUGGAACUCCAUGUGUAGCGGUGAAAUGCGUAGAUAUAUGGAAGAACACCAGUGGCGAAGGCGGCUCUCUGGUCUGUAACUGACGCUGAGGUUCGAAAGCGUGGGUAGCAAACAGGAUUAGAUACCCUUGUAGUC